AGUGAACGCCGGCGGUAGGCCUAACACAUGCAAGUCGAACGGCAGCACAGAGGAGCUUGCUCCUUGGGUGGCGAGUGGCGGACGGGUGAGGAAUACAUCGGAAUCUACUCUGUCGUGGGGGAUAACGUAGGGAAACUUACGCUAAUACCGCAUACGACCUACGGGUGAAAGCAGGGGACCUUCGGGCCUUGCGCGAUUGAAUGAGCCGAUGUCGGAUUAGCUAGUUGGCGGGGUAAAGGCCCACCAAGGCGGCGAUCCGUAGCUGGUCUGAGAGGAUGAUCAGCCACACUGGAACUGAGACACGGUCCAGACUCCUACGGGAGGCAGCAGUGGGGAAUAUUGGACAAUGGGCGCAAGCCUGAUCCAGCCAUACCGCGUGGGUGAAGAAGGCCUUCGGGUUGUAAAGCCCUUUUGUUGGGAAAGAAAUCCAGCUGGCUAAUACCCGGUUGGGAUGACGGUACCCAAAGAAUAAGCACCGGCUAACUUCGUGCCAGCCGCCGCGGUAA
RNAcentral lists this ribosomal RNA (506 nucleotides) under uncultured bacterium. Its description in RNAcentral is "partial 16S ribosomal RNA". It matches the Rfam family "Bacterial small subunit ribosomal RNA", at positions 29 to 523 of the family's 1533-position model. The record is from RNAcentral.